AACGAACGCUGGCGGCAUGCCUAACACAUACAAGUCGAACGCGUGGAGCGAUCCACGAGUGGCGCACGGGUGAGUAACGCGUGGGAACCUGCCCUGGAGUGUGGGAUAACCCGGCGAAAGCCGGGCUAAUACCGCAUACGACCUGAGGGUGAACGAUUUAUCGCUCUAGGAGGGGCCCGCGUCGGAUUAGCUAGUUGGUGAGGUAAUGGCUCAACAAGGCGAUGAUUCGUAGCUGGUCUGAGAGGAUGAUCAGCCACACUGGGACUGAGACACGGCCAAGACGCGGACGGGAGGCCGGGGUGGGGAAUAUUGGCGAAUUGGGGCAACCCUGAUCCAGCAAUGGCGCGUGGGCGAUGAAGGCCGUCGGGUUGUAAAGCCCUUUUGCACGCGACGAUGAUGACGGUAGCGUGAGAAGAAGCCCCGGCUAACUUCGUGCCAGCCGCCGCAGUAA
This 451-nucleotide ribosomal RNA is filed under the name uncultured bacterium. Its description in RNAcentral is "partial 16S ribosomal RNA". It matches the Rfam family "Bacterial small subunit ribosomal RNA", at positions 29 to 523 of the family's 1533-position model. The record is from RNAcentral.